RNAcentral lists this ribosomal RNA (681 nucleotides) under Myxarium crystallinum. Its description in RNAcentral is "partial large subunit ribosomal RNA". It matches the Rfam family "Eukaryotic large subunit ribosomal RNA", at positions 134 to 799 of the family's 3401-position model. The record is from RNAcentral. Lineage: Eukaryota; Fungi; Basidiomycota; Agaricomycetes; Auriculariales; Hyaloriaceae.
CCGUCCGAGUUGUAGUUUAGAGAGGUGUCUUCCGCGUCGGACCGUGUACAAGUCCCUUGGGAUAGGGCGUCAUAGAGGGUGAGAAUCCCGUCCAUGACACGGACUACCGGUGCUAUGUGAUGCGCCCUCAAAGAGUCGGGUUGUUUGGGAAUGCAGCUCAAAAUGGGUGGUAAAUUCCAUCUAAAGCUAAAUAUUGGCGAGAGACCGAUAGCGCACAAGUACCGUGAGGGAAAGGUGAAAAGCACUUUGGAAAGAGAGUUAAACAGUACGUGAAAUUGCCGAAAGGGAAACGCUUGGAGUCAGUCGCGUUGGCCGGGACUCAGCCGGGCUUCUGCCUGGUGUACUUCUCGGUCGAUGGGCCAGCAUCGAUUUUGGUCGCCGGAUAAUGGCGUUGGGAAUGUGGCACCUUCGGGUGUGUUAUAGCCCUUCGUCGCAUACGGUGACUGGGAUCGAGGAACGCAGCACGCCCUCACGGGCCGGGGUUCGCCCACGUACGUGCUUCGGAUGCUGGCGUAAUGGCUUUAAACGACCCGUCUUGAAACACGGACCAAGGAGUCUAACAUGCCUGCGAGUGUUAGGGUGCCAAACCCUUGCGCGUAAUGAAAGUGAAAGGUUGGGACUCCCCUCAAAAGGAGGCACCGACGCCCGAUCCUGACGUUCUCUGACGGAUUUGAGGCAAGA